UACGGAGGAUCCGAGCGUUAUCCGGAUUUAUUGGGUUUAAAGGGUGCGCAGGCGGUAUGUUAAGUCGGCGGUGAAAUUUUGCAGCUCAACUGUAAAAGUGCCUUCGAUACUGUUUGGCUAGGAUUUGGUUGUAGUGUGCGGAAUGUGUGGUGUAGCGGUGAAAUGCUUAGAUAUCACACAGAACACCGAUUGCGAAGGCAGCACACUAAGUCAUUAUUGACGCUGAGGCACGAAAGUGUGGGGAUCAAACAGGAUUAGAUA
Molecule: ribosomal RNA, 261 nt
Filed under: uncultured prokaryote
Description: partial 16S ribosomal RNA
Rfam family: Bacterial small subunit ribosomal RNA
Source: RNAcentral